Molecule: ribosomal RNA, 895 nt
Filed under: uncultured bacterium
Lineage: Bacteria
Description: bacterial SSU rRNA
Rfam family: Bacterial small subunit ribosomal RNA
Source: RNAcentral
UGAAAGUUUGUGGCUCAACCAUAAAAUUGCCAUUGAAACUGGGAGACUUGAGUAUGUUUGAGGUAGGCGGAAUGCGUGGUGUAGCGGUGAAAUGCAUAGAUAUCACGCAGAACUCCGAUUGCGAAGGCAGCUUGCCAAGCCAUAACUGACACUGAAGCACGAAAGCGUGGGUAUCAAACAGGAUUAGAUACCCUGGUAGUCCACGCAGUAAACGAUGAUUACUAGGAGUUUGCGAUAAAAUGUAAGCUCUACAGCGAAAGCGUUAAGUAAUCCACCUGGGGAGUACGCCGGCAACGGUGAAACUCAAAGGAAUUGACGGGGGCCCGCACAAGCGGAGGAACAUGUGGUUUAAUUCGAUGAUACGCGAGGAACCUUACCCGGGUUUGAACGCAGUCCGACCGCCGAUGAAAGUCGGCUUCUAGCAAUAGCGGAUUGCGAGGUGCUGCAUGGUUGUCGUCAGCUCGUGCCGUGAGGUGUCGGCUUAAGUGCCAUAACGAGCGCAACCCUUGCCGUUAGUUACUAACAAGUUAUGUUGAGGACUCUAGCGGGACUGCCAGCGUAAGCUGUGAGGAAGGCGGGGAUGACGUCAAAUCAGCACGGCCCUUACAUCCGGGGCGACACACGUGUUACAAUGGCGUGGACAAAGAGCAGCCACUUGGCGACAAGGAGCUAAUCUCCAAACCACGUCUCAGUUCGGAUCGGAGUCUGCAACUCGACUCCGUGAAGCUGGAUUCGCUAGUAAUCGCGCAUCAGCCAUGGCGCGGUGAAUACGUUCCCGGGCCUUGUACACACCGCCCGUCAAGCCAUGGGAGCCGGGGGUACCUGAAGUCCGUAACCGCGAGGAUCGGCCUAGGGUAAAACUGGUGACUGGGGCUAAGUCGUAACAAGGUAACCA